GACGAACGCUGGCGGCGUGCUUAACACAUGCGAGUCGAACGAAGCGCGAUGGAAGCUUGCUUCUAUCAAUCUUAGUGGCGAACGGGUGAGUAACGCGUAAUCAACCUGCCCUUCAGAGGGGGACAACAGUUGGAAACGACUGCUAAUACCGCAUACGAUCUAACCUCGGCAUCGAGGAUAGAUGAAAGGUGGCCUCUACAUGUAAGCUAUCACUGAAGGAGGGGAUUGCGUCUGAUUAGCUAGUUGGAGGGGUAACGGCCCACCAAGGCGAUGAUCAGUAGCCGGUCUGAGAGGAUGAACGGCCACAUUGGGACUGAGACACGGCCCAGACUCCUACGGGAGGCAGCAGUGUGGAAUCUUCCGCAAUGGACGAAAGUCUGACGGAGCAACGCCGCGUGAGUGAUGACGGCCUUCGGGUUGUAAAGCUCUGUUAAUCGGGACGAAAGGCCUUCUUGCGAAUAGUGAGAAGGAUUGACGGUACCGAAAUAGAAAGCCACGGCUAACUACGUG
RNAcentral lists this ribosomal RNA (510 nucleotides) under uncultured bacterium. Its description in RNAcentral is "partial 16S ribosomal RNA". It matches the Rfam family "Bacterial small subunit ribosomal RNA", at positions 28 to 507 of the family's 1533-position model. The record is from RNAcentral.